AAUGAAUGAUGACAACAUGUUUCGGUCCCAUAUGACACUGAAUGAUUAUACUCUGCUUAUCCUAACAGU
Molecule: small nucleolar RNA, 69 nt
Filed under: Chelonia mydas (Green sea turtle)
Lineage: Eukaryota; Metazoa; Chordata; Testudines; Cheloniidae
Description: Small nucleolar RNA SNORD73
Rfam family: Small nucleolar RNA SNORD73
About the family: U73 is a member of the C/D class of snoRNA which contain the C (UGAUGA) and D (CUGA) box motifs. U73 is encoded within the introns of ribosomal protein S3a and contains a 12nt region of complementarity to a conserved sequence in 28S ribosomal RNA.
Source: Rfam by way of RNAcentral